Colossoma macropomum (tambaqui) is the source of this 2965-nucleotide RNA transcript. It is a transcript of the gene named serine and arginine rich splicing factor 3b, with no coding region annotated. The transcript has 7 exons. The record is from RefSeq and is a predicted model, not a curated record. Lineage: Eukaryota; Metazoa; Chordata; Actinopteri; Characiformes; Serrasalmidae.
GGCGGCGCCAAUUUCUGCUUCGCCAUUUUAUUGUAGAAAGUCGAGCAGCGCGGAAAACAAACAGCGGCGGAUCACAAGGAAUAAAACACGUUACUGAUUCGUGUUUUCCGGAGUACCAGUUUUUGUUUAGAGAGUUGAGGCCUGUUGCAAUGGGAGAUCCCGGCAUGCAUAGAGACUGCCCGUUGGACUGUAAGGUGUACGUGGGGAACCUGGGGAAUAACGGUAAUAAAUCUGAGCUGGAGAGGGCGUUUGGGUACUAUGGCCCACUGCGCAGCGUCUGGGUGGCCAGGAACCCCCCUGGCUUUGCUUUCGUAGAAUUUGAGGACCCUCGUGAUGCUACAGACGCAGUCAGAGAACUGGACGGCAGGACUCUGUGCGGUUGCCGUGUGAGGGUCGAGAUGUCCAAUGGCGAAAAGCGCUCACGUAACCGAGGCCCGCCCCCUUCCUGGAGCCGCCGCCCGCGUGACGAUUACCGGCGUCGCAGCCCGCCUCCCAGGCGCAGAGUCACCACCAUGCCUCUUCUCACCAACCUCAGUCAACUAGUCCUCUUUCAGCAUCAUGUGACCAGCGUGCCCCAAUCAGCUGGCUGGGUUCGUGUCACAUGACCCAGGCAUGGCCAACCGUCAGGUCGCACCAGCCCAGCCCAUUGGUUCCUGAGCAUGCCGUUCUCAGCUCCUCCUCCUCCAACCUUAACACCCAAUCAGCAGCGGCCCACCUCACAUUCCUGACCAAUCAGCGUGUUUUACGUUCCCAAAUGUCUACACUACAACCCACCAGCAACAGCCUUCGGCUAACCAAUAAAAGCAGGAAAAAUCCACUACAGCCAGCCCCCAUCCACAAGCCAACUAAUCAGCUGGCAGCAUCUGGCCUGCCCUUUUCCGCCAAGUCCCGCCUCCCCGGCCGGCACUCCGCCUCCCCUUCGCCAUUUCUAGCUUGUUGAAAACCAAAAGACUAGUAAGUUUUUCCUGCUUCAUACAGUUUGAUGCUGAAUACAGUUGUAAAAAAAUGAAGAGACAGGUUGAAAAAGGUGCCUUUUUCCAUUUUAAUCCAGAAAUUCAAGGGUUGGUAUGAAAAAUACAGUUUAAAGGGGGGGCGGCUCCUGAGCGAGGCUGUUUUUUGAAGACUCGGAAGGAGCUCUCUCCUUUUAAACUCCCAUCAGGAGGUUACAUAAUGUUUCUCCUUUUGAGCUUUGUGCUCCAGCGCUCUGUGCUCUCUCAUUGACUGCGUUAUGAUGGUUUUUUUUUUCACUGAGUUGUCUUUACUUUUUUUUUCAUUGUUUUGUUUUUUUCUGUGCCGCAGUAACGAAGGUUCCUCAGUUUCCAUUUGUUUUCCACGAAAAACUGCAUAAAUUGCUUUAGCAGUUCAGAGAGAAUGCAGCCCCCUCCUUAUUCCUGUAUCUGUCCCCAAAUUGGCAUAUUGAUUGUGCGCACUUGUCCAGACACAGAUUAAGCCUAGCCUUAGUCAUGCUAUUGAGUGGGAUUUAUUUUAAAUUAGGGCUGUUAUUUACUGUGUCUAACUGAUAGCUUUAGUACAAUCAGGCUACAUCUGUACUCCAGUCGAUUUACCAUGCAGCAAAACUUUAGAGCUUUUUACAUGGGAAAAAAUAGAAGUCACAUCGCCCCCUACACUUACUGUAAUGCAUUACAAUCUGUCAGAGUGUCCAUUUGGAUCAUAUGAGCAUAAUUGAGCGCCUCCUAUGUCCCCUGUGGUGCAUUACAGUCUGUUAGAAUUAGCAUCACAUAAUCCAUGUGAUUGUAUGAUGACUGAUUAUUCAGAAUCCCUGCAGCUCUAUUUUAAAACCCUCCUCAGUCUGGCACUCGGUUUAGACUGUGUCUGGAGAACUGCACUGCAGUUUCCUGUUUGUAAAUCCCUCUAAAACUGCCGUUAUUGACCAACCCUCUCCUGUACGGGGUGCUCUCACCACCCCCGGUCAAAUUUCCUCCCCCUCCCUCCCUUUCUAGCGGCUCUCCGGCCCGUAGCGCGGCUGUGCUGAGAGCGAGUGGUGAGUGCAGGUAUUUUCUGGCAGGAUAAGGUUAAAAGGCUGAUGUUAGCUGUGUGUCCCUCUGUUGCUCACUCUCUCUUUCUUUCUGUCGUCCCUCUUCUCCCUCCCCAGAUCCCCCCGCAGGAGGAGCUUUAGCCGCAGCCGCAGCAGAUCUUUCUCCAGAGACCGCAGAAGGGAGAGGUCUCUGUCUCGAGACAGGAACCAUAAACCAUCUCGAUCCUUCUCCAGAUCCAGAAGUCGCUCUAGAUCGAACGACAGGAGGUGAGAUUGGUGAGACACUGAGACGGUCGCUACAGAAGGAUUGUGUAAAGACUGCGAUCAGUCGUCUUUUAACUCCAGCGUUGUGGACUCGCGCCCCCCCAGACUCAUCUUGCUUUAUCUAUUGUCCUUUUUAUUUUAUUUUAUUUUUUUUUCUCUUCUCUUAUUUUAUAAAGCGAUCAGAUGUUUUAGAGCGGCUUUGUUUCCCUGCGAUGUGUGUUUGUGUGAUAGUGCUCCACUCUUUGCUGUAUUACACUUCAUUUUUCGUCCGGCAGCAUUCCAUCUGGGAUCCCUUUUUUUAAAAUAAAAGUAUUCGGGGUUUUUGUUUUCUGUUCCUGAUGAUGCAUGGAAGGUUCGUGAAUAUAAGGAACUGGCUGAUAGUGUUUUUUUUUGUUUGUUUGUUUGUUUUGUCGUCGUCCCCCCCCCCUGCUGUGUCCAGUCCCUUUUACAUGUGUCAUGAGCUCCUAAAAAUGGAGAUGUGAAGUCCUUUUAUUUUUUCCCCGUUUUUUGGUAUGUUUAGCGUCGAGGAGCCUCUGUAUAAAUUGGACAUUGUGACAUGUAGCUUGAGACGGGGAAAUGUACAGCACUAUGAAGAACAGAUUUUUGACCUUCAUACAUUCUGUUUUGGUCCUUUUGUUUUAUUGUCCUCCCUAGUGUUUGUACCGUUUGUAAUGUUUAUCUGAAAUUAAACUGGUUCCAGGAUGA